AUCCAGCUCACCAGUCCCAAAUAGGACGAAGCACGCUUCCUGGAU
Schistosoma haematobium is the source of this 45-nucleotide non-coding RNA. NCBI's taxonomy places the organism in Eukaryota, Metazoa, Platyhelminthes, Trematoda, Strigeidida, Schistosomatidae. The record is from Rfam.